GGAGGCACUCUGACCAGCCAUGCCGCGUGCAGGAAGACUGCCCUAUGGGUUGUAAACUGCUUUUAUACAGGAAGAAACACUCCUACGUGUAGGAGCUUGACGGUACUGUAAGAAUAAGCACCGGCUAACUCCGUGCCAGCAGCCGCGGUAAUACGGAGGGUGCAAGCGUUAUCCGGAAUCAUUGGGUUUAAAGGGUCCGCAGGCGGUCAAUUAAGUCAGAGGUGAAAUCCCAUAGCUUAACUAUGGAACUGCCUUUGAUACUGGUUGACUUGAGUUAUACGGAAGUAGAUAGAAUGUGUAGUGUAGCGGUGAAAUGCAUAGAUAUUACACAGAAUACCGAUUGCGAAGGCAGA
Molecule: ribosomal RNA, 353 nt
Filed under: uncultured Polaribacter sp.
Lineage: Bacteria; Pseudomonadati; Bacteroidota; Flavobacteriia; Flavobacteriales; Flavobacteriaceae
Description: bacterial SSU rRNA
Rfam family: Bacterial small subunit ribosomal RNA
Source: RNAcentral